This is a non-coding RNA of Chiloscyllium plagiosum (whitespotted bambooshark), 818 nucleotides long. Lineage: Eukaryota; Metazoa; Chordata; Chondrichthyes; Orectolobiformes; Hemiscylliidae. The record is from RefSeq and is a predicted model, not a curated record.
CACAUGAACAAUUUUUUAAAAGGCCGCAGUGCACUUGGAUAAGCAUUGACAUUCCGAAGCUGCCCUGUUCAGUCAAAGAUAGAAAUGGAAAACUUUCAAGAAGGGGAAGAUGAUGCUGUGGUUCUCUGACAAUGACGUGGAGGUUCUGGUCAAGGGAGUGGUGCAAAGGGGAGUGGUCGUGAUGAUGUGGAGAAAUCGCCAACAGUGCCAUAUAAAGUUCAAUGACUUACUCCAUUCCAUCAAAGAAAGGAACCAGGCAGGUGAAGGGGUGCCUGACUUUUGAAUCCUCAGGCCUGAGGACAGGAGAAGACCAGGAUCGCUGCAACAGGGAGACAUCCAUCUUCUGCCAUCCAAUACUGCUAGCAUAUCCACCUUGUGGUGAAAUGGCCAGCUCCCUCAGAAGCCAUCUCCCCGACCUCUGAGAACAUGACUGCCGAGGACUCAGAAGCAGCAUCUGCAAUACUGACUCCUGCAAGUUGCAUAAGCUCAGAUUCUGUCAACUUGGUGGGAAUGUUAGCGUUGGGAGGUGUGAGACCACUGUGACUGCCCCACAACAUUCUGGCUGCUCGGACUCACAGGGUUGUCAGAGACUAGGUAGCUGCUCAGCCCAGGCAGGAGAAGACCCUGUGGCAUCAGCAAUUAGAGAACCAAAGAAUGAGCCAGAGAAACAGUGAAGCACAGGCGAGGCCAGGGAAAGUGGGAGAGAUGAUCAACAGAAAAGCAAAGAAAGCAAGAAAAAGAGGAGAACCUGAAGUACAAAGAAAAAGGAAGUGCAAGAAUCAAAGAGAGAAGGAACCAGAUAAUUAAGAUCAAGAAUG